Molecule: non-coding RNA, 136 nt
Organism: Hordeum vulgare subsp. vulgare (domesticated barley)
Lineage: Eukaryota; Viridiplantae; Streptophyta; Magnoliopsida; Poales; Poaceae
Source: Rfam
CUAGUACUUCAUUCGUCCUAAAAUUCUUGUUUUAAAUUUAUUCAGAUAUGAAUGUAUCUAGUCAUAUUUUAGUAUUUUAAUACAUUCAUCUCUAAAUAAAUCUAAGACAAAAAUUUUGAGACGGAGGGAGUACCAA